GUUUUCUUUACGUUUUAGGCAGUUGCAUCUGCUGCAGUGGAUUGCUCUUCUGGAAUUUUUCCUCUUACAAAAUUAUAAAAAGCUUUGAAAAAAAAAUAAAACUGAAGUCCCCAAAGAUUAGUCCACUUCUCUCUACAACUAUUGUUUAAGCCACUGACAGACUCCAGGUGCCUGAGGGAUACUGCUAUCUUCAGCCUGGAGCCUCAUCUGGCAUGCUCUGCAACUUUUUUUGAAGAGGAAUUCGGCUGCAGAUUUAGCUAAGGACUUCAGAGCCUUGAAGAGCUCAGCACACAAGAACAAGAUGCCUACAGCACACAGACUUCCUCCUGAUGCCAUGCAGAGGUGUUGGCCUGCCUUUCUUCAGGUUUUGAGCCACAUCCAGAGGAGCCUCCUUGCUUUUAAUCUCCCAAGUCCUCUUUGUUGUUUUUUUCUAAUUUAUUUCCCCUUCAUUUCAGGCCUUUCGGUUUGUUGAUUAAUGCCAUAAAGGCAGCCUGUGCUGCUUCUGGAAAUGCAGUUUGUCAUCUCUGUCAGCACUCAGCUCCAUAUGUUGCUACUUCAUAAGCAACAUACCAGGAUGCGAGGCAAUAUAAAUGAGCCAGGCUUCACCGGACUGUAUGCAGUUUACAUUUCAUCUUUUAUAAUCAAAGGCGUGAUUUUCCACUCACAUUUUUCACAGGAUGCAUAAUUACUGUGUAAUUUCUGUUUUUCAUGAUUUACUGUGCACGCUAAAUUGAGGUAACUUAAUAGGCUUCAAGAGAAGCACAGUUUAAUGGUCAAUCUGAUCUGACAAAAUAGUUGUAUACACUUUAUAGCAUCUUUCAUCUAAAGAGUACAAAUAAUAUACCUAUUAGCCUACCCAGAAGCAUUUGAAAAUCAUAGGGACAACUGGGGAGAAAAGGAGUGGAACUGUUUAAUGGCCUUAAAGCAGAAUAAAGAGAAAGACUUUCUCUCA
Molecule: long non-coding RNA, 952 nt
Organism: Cygnus olor (mute swan)
Lineage: Eukaryota; Metazoa; Chordata; Aves; Anseriformes; Anatidae
Exons: 4
Source: RefSeq, a predicted model, not a curated record